UGCCAGCCGCCGCGGUAAUACGUAGGUCCCAAGCGUUAUCCGGAUUUACUGGGCGUAAAGCGUCUGUAGCCGGUUAUACCAGUCUGUUUUCAAAUACUGCGACUCAAUCGUAGAAAGGGAAUGGAUACUAUAUAGCUAGAGGUUGUGAGGGGUUAGUAGAAUUUCCGGUGGAGCGGUGGAAUGCGUUGAUAUCGGAAGGAAUGCCAAAAGCGAAAGCAGCUAACUAUCACAAACCUGACGGUGAGAGACGAAAGUUUGGGUAGCAAACGGGAUUAGAUA
This 279-nucleotide ribosomal RNA is filed under the name uncultured bacterium. Its description in RNAcentral is "partial 16S ribosomal RNA". It matches the Rfam family "Bacterial small subunit ribosomal RNA", at positions 506 to 784 of the family's 1533-position model. The record is from RNAcentral.